Molecule: ribosomal RNA, 1243 nt
Filed under: Vorticella sp.
Lineage: Eukaryota; Ciliophora; Oligohymenophorea; Sessilida; Vorticellidae
Description: SSU rRNA
Rfam family: Eukaryotic small subunit ribosomal RNA
Source: RNAcentral
AAUCUGGUUGAUCCUGCCAGUAGUCAUAUGCUUGUCUCAAAGAUUAAGCCAUGCAUGUGUAAGUAUAAGUAUUAUACGGCGAAACUGCGAAUGGCUCAUUAAAACAGUUAUGAUUUAUUUGAUAAUCGAAAGUUACAUGGAUAACCGUGACAAAUUACAGCUAAUACAUGCAGUCAGACCUGGUCCAAGGGUCGUAAUUAUUAGUACCAAACCAAUUCCGCAAGGAAUGUGAUGAAUCAUAGUAAUCGAACGAAUCGCAGGUAUAUGCGAUAAGUCAUUCAAGUUUCUGCCCUAUCAGCUUUGGAUGGUAGUGUAUUGGACUACCAUGGCAGUCACGGGUAACGGAGAAUUAGGGUUCGAUUCCGGAGAGGGAGCCUGAGAAACGGCUACCACAUCUACGGAAGGCAGCAGGCGCGAAAAUUGCCCAAUCCUGACACGGGGAGGCAGUGACAAGAAAUAACAACUCUAGGUUUUCUUAGAAGUGUAAUGAGGAUAAUUUACAAACCUUACCAAAUGCAAUUGGAGGGCAAGUCUGGUGCCAGCAGCCGCGGUAAUUCCAGCUCCAAUAGCGUAUAUUAAAGUUGUUGCAGUUAAAAAGCUCGUAGUUGAAAUUCUGAUUGUUCGGGUUUUUAGCCUUUAGGCAGAAAUACCGACAGUCAUCCGCUUGCAAACAUAGCUUGAUCUUAACCGAUUAACUAUGUGAGUAAGCACUUUACCUUGAGAAAAACAGAGUGUUCCAGGCAGGUUUGUCCGGAAUGCAUUAGCAUGGAAUAAUAGAACAUGACUGAAGUCAAUUUAUUGGUUAAAGACUUUAGUAAUGAUUAAUAGGAACAGUCGGGGGCAUUCGUACUCAGCAGUCAGAGGUGAAAUUCUAAGAUUUGCUGAAGACGAACUAAUGCGAAAGCAUUUGCCAAGGAUGUUUUCAUUAAUCAAGAACGAAAGUUAGGGGAUCAAAGACGAUCAGAUACCGUCCUAGUCUUAACUAUAAACGAUACCGACUCGGAUUCAGAUGAAUCAAAAUGUUCAUUUGGGACCGUAGGAGAAAUCAAAGUCUUUGGGUUCUGGGGGGAGUAUGGUCGCAAGGCUGAAACUUAAAGGAAUUGACGGUUUUGCACCACCAUGGAGUGGAGUUUGCGGCUUAAUUUGACAACACUGGGAAACUCAUCAGGGCAAGAAGAUUUUAGGAUUGACAGAUUGAGAGUUCUUUCUUGAUUGGUCUAGUGGUGGUGCAUGGCCGUUCUUA